This 465-nucleotide ribosomal RNA is filed under the name uncultured bacterium. RNAcentral describes it as "partial 16S ribosomal RNA". It matches the Rfam family "Bacterial small subunit ribosomal RNA", at positions 28 to 507 of the family's 1533-position model. The record is from RNAcentral.
GACGAACGCUGGCGGCGUGCUUAACACAUGCAAGUCGAACGGAAAGGCCCUGCUUGCAGGGUACUCGAGUGGCGAACGGGUGAGUAACACGUGGGUGAUCUGCCCUGCACUUCGGGAUAAGCCUGGGAAACUGGGUCUAAUACCGGAUAGGAGCCAUUUUUAGUGUGAUGGUUGGAAAGUUUUUUCGGUGUAGGAUGAGCUCGCGGCCUAUCAGCUUGUUGGUGGGGUAAUGGCCUACCAAGGCGGCGACGGGUAGCCGGACUGAGAGGGUGGACGGCCACAUUGGGACUGAGGUACGGCCCAGACUCCUAAGGGAGGAAGAAGUGGGGAAUAUUGCACAAUGGACGCAAGCCUGAUGAAGCGACGCCGCGUGGGGGAUGACGGCCUUCGGGUUGUAAAAUCCUUUCGCUAGGGACGAAGCUUUUUGUGACGGUACCUAGAUAAGAAGCACCGGCUAACUACGUG